AUAAAAAAAUAAAUAUAUAUAUAAAAAAAGAAUAAUAUAUUUUUUAAAAAGCCCAAACAAAAUGAAGAAGUUAGCCAGUAACUCAGCCAGUGUCAACAUACUGGGUUUGCACAAUUACAGUAAACACAGGGUGAAAGCCCCGGAUGUCAGUCAGGAUCUUAAUAAGUGCACCGCCCUCCUGAGGUCCGGCUCCGGGCGGAACAGGCAGAAAGAGGUGCGUUUGAUUUAAGACCCUAUAAACACUGUGACAGCAGAAGAAGAAGAAGCUUAAAGUUGAGCUUUAAGAGGCUAAUUAGCAGCAAGAACUCACCACAUUAGUGAGGAAAUCUCCGUCGCUGAGCUCCUCCAGGUCCAACAGGUUGUGACAGGCAGCUCUCUGAUUGGCUCCCGGUGUGAUGAUGCAGGUAUGACUCAUCUUCUAUUCUGAGCCAAAGAGGUGACUCCGGGCUCCGACCUUUCGUCUCCUUGGGGACCGCUGUGACGUCAUCGGCCCUCCACACAUUCAUUGUUGUCGUCGUCCUCCUCUGUCUCUCUAAUCCAGUCAGGUUUGUUGGCAUCACAAACAACCAUCGAGGUGGAGGACACAUCGUUUACGUCUGUCUGUCUGUCUGAAUGUCUCUCGCUGGUCGUUAAGUUCAGAAGUUCAGAGUGAGCGAUGAGGAGAGAGAGAGAUACAUGGAGAAAUCACAUAACGCCAAGACUGUAAUCAAAACCAGUCUCAUUCUGUACACGCUGUUACGUCACAUAAACACUCCUACAACAAGAGCGGGUCAGCUUCCUGGUCAGAGCGUGGCGAACGGUCAGCAUGUAGGAGCGGCGGUCAGGCAGAGGGCGCUGCUGGUCCAGGACCAGCCUGUUGGACACAAGGAACAAAACAUCAACAGCUGGGUGCCUUCUCAAGACUGCAGGGAACAGUAGAUGACAAGAGCCAUUUGUUUGGAGGAACUGUGUCCAACUCCAGACGCCAGUAUCCCAUUCUGGGUCUAUUCAAGACACAUAUACACACUCUUUUUUAGGGAUUUUCAAUGACUUAACAACCAUUCCACUUCACUAUAAUGGUUUGGAGAGUCUCUGAAUGUUCAGUUUCAAAAUGUCAAGUGAGCUGUUGUUUGCCCGAUCUGUGGCUCAAGUCUUUUCGAUGGAUUUGACGUCACCAGAGUCUCACCAGCAGUUUAAGUUCUUUUAAGUUUAAAGGACUCAUUUGACAUUUUGGAAAAUACGCCUAUUUGUACAUGAGAGUGGUGUCAACCUUCUCAUUUAACCCUCAUCAAGAAAUCUAAUUUUUGUGUGAUUGAUGAGGAUCCGUCACUGCCGAAACUUGGAAAUGUACUUUCUUUUCAAACA
Molecule: long non-coding RNA, 1344 nt
Organism: Sebastes umbrosus (honeycomb rockfish)
Lineage: Eukaryota; Metazoa; Chordata; Actinopteri; Perciformes; Sebastidae
Exons: 5
Source: RefSeq, a predicted model, not a curated record